AGACCAUUUCCUACAACUAUGGCUUGUCUGAGUCCUGAGCCAGCAGAGCUCAGGCCACAGCACCUGCACCCGUUUUCUGCUGCUGCACACAAGGGCUCUGUGCAUUCCGCAUCCAGAAGAUCUUAGAUUAGUAAGAUCAUGUUGGCCAUGGCAUGGAGAAUGGGCUGGAGGUGGAGAGACUGGAGGUUGGAAGUCCAGUUAGGAGAUUGCUCCUGCGCUGGGGAGUUGGUGUUAGGACAGAAGAUCCAAGACGCGUUUCAGAGAGCCCCUCUUCUUGGGCCUGCGAUUCCUCACCUGGAAGGGAGAAGAGUGGACUUCCUGCCUAGAGAACACCUUGUGGCUCCCUUUGAAGAACUGCCUUGGGGUUCAUGUUGCAGCAUCAAACAGGGAUGGAAGAUGCAUCUUGCUUUAGCAGCAGGAGCCUGGAAAGCAGCUGAAGCCCUGGAGGGUGCCUGGCACACAGAAUCUUGUGCUGAGCCCGGAGCACAAUGGGAGCGGGCUGGCGGGGUGGGUUCACAGCUGGACUGGGAGCAGCAGACAUACAGGCCGUAGGCACAGACAUAUAAAGACAGUCAUGCAGAUUGCAGGAUGCCUGAGAGCACAGACUCUCACAUGCACAAAUACGUGCAUGAUCGCCAGUGUGCAUCCAGACAGCCCCACAUGCAUGCACACGCAUGCACACAUGUGAUGUGUACAUAGAUGGACACAUGUCUAUGCCCACAAACACUGCAGAGACACAGAAGUGUCUGGCAAGGAACACUAUUUUGUCCUCAAUUUUCUGCCAGUGAGAGUCUACUGACUCCAUCUCUGAAAUGUCUCUACUUAUUGUCCCUCUUCUCCACCUGCACCACAUCCCUAGUCCCUGAAACUCCCACCGAGACCCCUGGGCAAU
This 892-nucleotide long non-coding RNA is filed under the name Homo sapiens (human). RNAcentral's name for it is "HSALNT0381959". Lineage: Eukaryota; Metazoa; Chordata; Mammalia; Primates; Hominidae. The record is from RNAcentral.